AUUGAACGCUGGCGGCAGGCCUAACACAUGCAAGUCGAGCGGAUGAGAGGAGCUUGCUCUUCGAUUCAGCGGCGGACGGGUGAGUAAUGCCUAGGAAUCUGCCCAGUAGUGGGGGACAACGUUUCGAGAGGAACGCUAAUACCGCAUACGUCCUACGGGAGAAUGUGGGGGAUCUUCGGACCUCACGCCACUGGAUGAGCCGAGGUCGGAUUAGCUAGUUGGUAGGGUAAAGGCCUACCAAGGCGACGAUCCGUAACUGGUCUGAGAGGAUGAUCAGUCACACUGGAACUGAGACACGGUCCAGACUCCUACGGGAGGCAGCAGUGGGGAAUAUUGGACAAUGGGCGCAAGCCUGAUCCAGCCAUGCCGCGUGUGUGAAGAAGGCCCUCGGGUCGUAAAGCACUUUAAGUUGGGAGGAAGGGCUUACAGCGAAUACCUGUGAGUUUUGACGUUACCGACAGAAUAAGCACCGGCUAACUUCGUGCCAGCCGCCGCGGUAA
RNAcentral lists this ribosomal RNA (500 nucleotides) under uncultured bacterium. Its description in RNAcentral is "partial 16S ribosomal RNA". It matches the Rfam family "Bacterial small subunit ribosomal RNA", at positions 30 to 523 of the family's 1533-position model. The record is from RNAcentral.